Molecule: ribosomal RNA, 448 nt
Filed under: uncultured bacterium
Lineage: Bacteria
Description: bacterial SSU rRNA
Rfam family: Bacterial small subunit ribosomal RNA
Source: RNAcentral
AGCUUGUUGGUGGGGUAACGGCCUACCAAGGCUACGAUGGGUACCGGGUGUGAGAGCAUGGCCCGGCUCACUGGGACUGAGACACUGCCCAGACACCUACGGGUGGCUGCAGUCGAGAAUCUUCGGCAAUGGACGAAAGUCUGACCGAGCGACGCCGCGUGCGGGAUGAAUGCCUUCGGGUUGUAAACCGCUGUCAGAGGGGAUGAAAUACCUGGGGGCUAUCCUCCAGGCUUGACAUAUCCUCAGAGGAAGGACGGGCUAAGUUCGUGCCAGCAGCCGCGGUAAGACGAACCGUCCAAACGUUAUUCGGAAUUACUGGGCUUAAAGGGUGCGUAGGCGGUGUGGUAAGUUGGGUGUGAAAUCCCUCGGCUCAACCGAGGAACUGCGCCCAAAACUGCCAUGCUAGAGGGAGACAGGGGUAAGCGGAACUGAUGGUGGAGCGGUGAAA